This 211-nucleotide long non-coding RNA is filed under the name Prunus persica (peach). RNAcentral describes it as "long non-coding RNA (PPER_LNC002442)". The record is from RNAcentral. Lineage: Eukaryota; Viridiplantae; Streptophyta; Magnoliopsida; Rosales; Rosaceae.
UUUCACUGUGUCUCGAUGAGAUCCUUAGGUUGUCACGAGUGCGUAGGAUUUCACGGAUCUCAAUUCGGACGUCGUUUGACUAUCGAACGGAUAUCGCCUAUUGCUCGUUAUCCGAGUUCGAUAGGUUAGGACCGUUGGAUGGUCUCAAAUUUAAUAUAUGUUAAUCUAGGUAUUUCUAGGAUCGUCUAGGAAUUCACGUAUCAUGAAUCGG